This 253-nucleotide ribosomal RNA is filed under the name uncultured bacterium. RNAcentral describes it as "partial 16S ribosomal RNA". It matches the Rfam family "Bacterial small subunit ribosomal RNA", at positions 524 to 776 of the family's 1533-position model. The record is from RNAcentral.
UACGUAGGGUGCAAGCGUUAAUCGGAAUUACUGGGCGUAAAGCGUGCGCAGGCGGUUAUGUAAGACAGGUGUGAAAUCCCCGGGCUUAACCUGGGAAUGGCAUUUGUGACUGCAUGGCUAGAGUUUGGCAGAGGGGGGUAGAAUUCCACGUGUAGCAGUGAAAUGCGUAGAUAUGUGGAGGAAUACCGAUGGCGAAGGCAGCCCCCUGGGUCAAGACUGACGCUCAUGCACGAAAGCGUGGGGAGCAAACAGG